This 488-nucleotide ribosomal RNA is filed under the name uncultured bacterium. Its description in RNAcentral is "partial 16S ribosomal RNA". It matches the Rfam family "Bacterial small subunit ribosomal RNA", at positions 28 to 506 of the family's 1533-position model. The record is from RNAcentral.
GACGAACGCUGGCGGCGUGCUUAACACAUGCAAGUCGAACGGAAAGGCCCCCACCUUGGUGGGGGUGCUCGAGUGGCGAACGGGUGAGUAACACGUGGGUGAUCUGCCCUGUACUUCGGGAUAAGCUUGGGAAACUGGGUCUAAUACCGGAUAGGACCAUGGUUUAGUGUCUCAUGGUGGAAAAAUUAUUGUUUUGGUGCAGGAUGGGUUCGCGGCCUAUCAGCUUGUUGGUGGGGUAAUGGCCUACCAAGGCGUCGACGGGUAGCCGGCCUGAGAGGGUGGACGGCCACAUUGGGACUGAGAUACGGCCCAGACUCCUACGGGAGGCAGCAGUGGGGAAUAUUGCACAAUGGGCGCAAGCCUGAUGCAGCGACGCCGCGUGGGGGAUGACGGCCUUCGGGUUGUAAACUCCUUUCGUUAGGGACGAAGCCACACCUUUUUUGGGUGUGGUGACGGUACCUUUGUUAAGAAGCACCGGCUAACUACGU